Molecule: ribosomal RNA, 39 nt
Filed under: Cladocopium sp. clade C
Lineage: Eukaryota; Dinophyceae; Suessiales; Symbiodiniaceae
Description: partial 28S ribosomal RNA
Source: RNAcentral
UCUAGCAUGAAGUCAGACAAGUGAACCCGCUGAAUUUAA